UAAGUUGAUAGUGAAAGCGUUCGGCUCAACCGGAUAUCCAUUACCAAAACUGCAAAGCUAGAGGACGAGAGAGGUUAUUGGAAUUCCCUGUGUAGGAGUGAAAUCCGUAGAUAUAGGGAGGAACACCGAUGGCGUAGGCAGAUAACUGGCUCGUUUCUGACACUAAGGCACGAAAGCGUGGGUAGCAAACGGGAUUAGAUACCCCGGUAGUCCACGCCGUAAACUAUGGAUGCUA
This 235-nucleotide ribosomal RNA is filed under the name uncultured Candidatus Saccharibacteria bacterium. Its description in RNAcentral is "partial 16S ribosomal RNA". It matches the Rfam family "Bacterial small subunit ribosomal RNA", at positions 584 to 818 of the family's 1533-position model. Lineage: Bacteria; Candidatus Saccharimonadota. The record is from RNAcentral.